RNAcentral lists this ribosomal RNA (510 nucleotides) under uncultured bacterium. Its description in RNAcentral is "partial 16S ribosomal RNA". It matches the Rfam family "Bacterial small subunit ribosomal RNA", at positions 28 to 507 of the family's 1533-position model. The record is from RNAcentral.
GACGAACGCUGGCGGCGUGCUUAACACAUGCAAGUCGAACGAAGAGCGAUGGAAGCUUGCUUCUAUCAAUCUUAGUGGCGAACGGGUGAGUAACGCGUAAUCAACCUGCCCUUCAGAGGGGGACAACAGUUGGAAGCGACUGCUAAUACCGCAUACGAUCUGACCUCGGCAUCGAGGAUAGAUGAAAGGUGGCCUCUACAUGUAAGCUAUCACUGAAGGAGGGGAUUGCGUCUGAUUAGCUAGUUGGAGGGGUAACGGCCCACCAAGGCGAUGAUCAGUAGCCGGUCUGAGAGGAUGAACGGCCACAUUGGGACUGAGACACGGCCCAGACUCCUACGGGAGGCAGCAGUGGGGAAUCUUCCGCAAUGGACGAAAGUCUGACGGAGCAACGCCGCGUGAGUGAUGACGGCCUUCGGGUUGUAAAGCUCUGUUAAUCGGGACGAAAGGCCUUUUUGCGAAUAGUGAGAAGGAUUGACGGUACCGGAAUAGAAAGCCACGGCUAACUACGUG